This 403-nucleotide ribosomal RNA is filed under the name uncultured fungus. RNAcentral describes it as "partial small subunit ribosomal RNA". It matches the Rfam family "Eukaryotic small subunit ribosomal RNA", at positions 30 to 432 of the family's 1831-position model. The record is from RNAcentral. Lineage: Eukaryota; Fungi.
GCUUGUCUCAAAGAUUAAGCCAUGCAUGUCUAAGUACAAGCCUCAGUAAGGUGAAACCGCGAAUGGCUCAUUAAAUCACACCUAAUCUACUGGAAAGUUACUAGUUACUUGGAUAACUGAGGUAAUUCUUGAGCUAAUACAUGCGAAAAAUCUCGACUCACGGAGAGAUGCAUUUAUUAGAUACAAAACCGACCCGAGGUUCGCCUCGGAACCGUUGGUGAUUCAUAAUAACUAAGCGAAUCGCAUAGGCUUGCCUGGCGAUGGAUCUUUCAAGUUUCUGACCUAUCAGCUAUCGACGGUAGGGUAUUGGCCUACCGUGGCUAUGACGGGUAACGGAGAAUCAGGGUUCGAUUCCGGAGAGGGAGCCUGAGAAACGGCUACCACAUCUAAGGAAGGCAGCAGG